RNAcentral lists this ribosomal RNA (492 nucleotides) under uncultured soil bacterium. RNAcentral's name for it is "bacterial SSU rRNA". It matches the Rfam family "Bacterial small subunit ribosomal RNA", at positions 26 to 515 of the family's 1533-position model. The record is from RNAcentral.
AGAUUGAACGCUGGCGGCAGGCCUAACACAUGCAAGUCGAGCGGCAGCACGGGUACUUGUACCUGGUGGCGAGCGGCGGACGGGUGGGUAAUGCCUAGGAAUCUGCCUGGUAGUGGGGGAUAACGCUCGGAAACGGACGCUAAUACCGCAUACGUCCUACGGGAGAAAGCAGGGGACCUUCGGGCCUUGCGCUAUCAGAUGAGCCUAGGUCGGAUUAGCUAGUUGGUGAGGUAAUGGCUCACCAAGGCGACGAUCCGUAACUGGUCUGAGAGGAUGAUCAGUCACACUGGAACUGAGACACGGUCCAGACUCCUACGGGAGGCAGCAGUGGGGAAUAUUGGACAAUGGGCGAAAGCCUGAUCCAGCCAUGCCGCGUGUGUGAAGAAGGUCUUCGGAUUGUAAAGCACUUUAAGUGGAGAAGGCAGUUACCUAAUACGUAUCUGUUUUGACGUUACGACAGAAUAAGCACCGGCUAACUCUGUGCCUAGCACG